Molecule: ribosomal RNA, 387 nt
Filed under: uncultured bacterium
Lineage: Bacteria
Description: bacterial SSU rRNA
Rfam family: Bacterial small subunit ribosomal RNA
Source: RNAcentral
GAUGAACGCUGGCGAGAUGCCUUACACAUGCAAGUCGUACGGGGAUUUUUAAUUCAAGUGGCGGACGGGUGAGUAACACGUAAGAAUUUGCCUUUAGGAGGGGGACAACAACUGGAAACGGUUGCUAAUACCCCCAUAUGCUUUCGAGUGAAAUGGAUUUUUCCGCCUAAAGNGAAGCUUGCGGCUGAUUAGCUUGUUGGUGAGGUAAUGGCUCACCAAGGCGACGAUCAGUAUCUGGUUUGAGAGGACGACCAGCCACACUGGGACUGAGACACGGCCCAGACUCCUACGGGAGGCAGCAGUGGGGAAUUUUGGACAAUGGGGGAAACCCUGAUCCAGCCAUUCCGCGUGUGCGAUGAAGGCCUUCGGGUGUAAAGCACUUUUGGC